This 301-nucleotide ribosomal RNA is filed under the name uncultured bacterium. RNAcentral describes it as "partial 16S ribosomal RNA". It matches the Rfam family "Bacterial small subunit ribosomal RNA", at positions 509 to 809 of the family's 1533-position model. The record is from RNAcentral.
CAGUCGCCGCGGUAAUACGGAGGGUGCAAGCGUUAAUCGGAAUUACUGGGCGUAAAGCGCACGCAGGCGGUCUGUCAAGUCAGAUGUGAAAUCCCCGGGCUUAACCUGGGAACUGCAUUUGAAACUGGCAGGCUAGAGUCUUGUAGAGGGGGGUAGAAUUCCAGGUGUAGCGGUGAAAUGCGUAGAGAUCUGGAGGAAUACCGGUGGCGAAGGCGGCCCCCUGGACAAAGACUGACGCUCAGGUGCGAAAGCGUGGGGAGCAAACAGGAUUAGAUACCCGGGUAGUCCCUGUCUCUUAUAA